This 492-nucleotide ribosomal RNA is filed under the name uncultured bacterium. Its description in RNAcentral is "partial 16S ribosomal RNA". It matches the Rfam family "Bacterial small subunit ribosomal RNA", at positions 29 to 507 of the family's 1533-position model. The record is from RNAcentral.
AGUGAACGCUGGCGGUAGGCCUAACACAUGCAAGUCGAACGGCAGCACAGUAAGAGCUUGCUCUUACGGGUGGCGAGUGGCGGACGGGUGAGGAAUACAUCGGAAUCUACUUUUUCGGGGGGGAUAACGUAGGGAAACUUACGCUAAUACCGCAUACGACCUACGGGUGAAAGCAGGGGAUCUUCGGACCUUGCGCGAGUGAAUGAGCCGAUGUCGGAUUAGCUAGUUGGCGGGGUAAAGGCACACCAAGGCGACGAUCCGUAGCUGGUCUGAGAGGAUGAUCAGCCACACUGGAACUGAGACACGGUCCAGACUCCUACGGGAGGAAGCAGUGGGGAAUAUUGGACAAUGGGCGAAAGCCUGAUCCAGCCAUACCGCGUGGGUGAAGAAGGACUUCGGGUUGUAAAGCCCUUUUGUUGGGAAAGAAAAGCAGCAGGUUAAUACCCCGCUGUUCUGACGGUACCCAAAGAAUAAGCACCGGCUAACUUCGUG